CACGCAAGCGAGGAUGGGGGCUGCUGGUUUAGACGACCACAACCGCAUUAUCAGUGAGAGAUUUUCCCAAUGUGUGUGUGUGUGUGUGUGUUUCCUUUUUCUGUGUUUGAGGGAGUGAAGAGAGUUUUGUGCUUUUUUUAAUGAGGGACGAUUUUGUGUGCGUUACCCACAGACUGUAAUGAAGUCAAGUAGAGAGAGAGAGAGAGAGAGAGAGUGUGUGUGUAUGUGUGUGUGUUUGUGUGUGUGUGUGUGUGUGUGUGUUACUAUAAUUGACUAUAAUAGAACAAUCUGAUUGUAAUUCCUUCUGAGUGAGACGUUCACACCGCGCUGAAAGAACUGAACUCUCACACUUUAACAACCCAUCCUCACAGAUGAUUUUUCACAUGUCGCUGUUGCCGCCCACAAAGGCUAACGUAAAUAAAUACAUGCCGUCAUUAAGGACAAAAAAAAAAAGUCGGCGCAGAUCCCACAGCAUUCCGCAACACUAGUCCCAAAAGGUCUAAGGACUUGUGAGCUGAAUCUGAACCAGGUCCUGGAAAUGGGGGAUGGAGUUUGACAGUUAAAGCUUUGACCCCCCUCCCACCCCUUCUGAGAGUGGACUAGCGUGGUUGACUGGGUCAGCUGAGGGGAGCAGAGAUUCUGGCUUGUGGUCUGGUCAGUUUGUCUUUUUGGAUUAUGUUUGUCUUUAUAUUAACUAUUCUCUAUCUCUUGUGCUUUUAGUUUCUUUCUCACUUUUACAAGAUCAUUUUCUUUCUCUCUUACACAACUUUGCACACACAAACACCAGGGUCCUUCACUUCUUCCUCAUGCUUCCCCCCUCUGAACUCAGGAUUCUUGACAUUUUUCCCUUUAUCUCCAGAACCAGCUCAUCAGUUCUGGAUGCUUAACAUCCCAGAGAUGUUGGCUACCUGAGCCUGAGGAUGAGUUUGUUCUGACUAUAUAAGGCGUCUGUCUUCUCUCUUCUGGACCUGCUCCUCAUUCUUCAAUCUGGCCUGCUUAACAGUGGAAAUAUCUACAGGGGACCUUUUGCUUUGCUUUCCACCACAUAGGGUCAGAAAUGUUUAUCUGCAGAGUCCUUUUUAAAUGUGGGUUGUGGAUGGGACGAACGGAGCACGUAGGGCUGCUUUACCCCUGAGCCUUGAUGUGUGCAUGUUGGAGGAAUUAUAGGUUGUGUGGGAAAUGAGGCAAAGUGGAAAGUGUUUUUGCACUUAAACCUCAGUAAGGUAUUAUUGGCAUCCACAUUUCAACAUCAAAAGAUCGAGCGCUUACUUGGAAUUAUGCAUUAUUUUAAGUUGAUUAAAACUCUGCAAAUACCAGCUUAGGGGGACAAAACCAAGCUGCAGCUCUCUGUCUCAUGGUUUAAGGCUGCAUGAAUCAAUAUAUUUUAUAUCAACAAUAAAUAAAACGAAUAUGUGUAAUGUGGAAAGUGUUACUCUUGGAGGCAAACCUGCAGAGAAUUAUCACUUCUCGAAAGGCAAAAUAACAACUGUUAUUUCUUUCACUGCCCUCUAGUGGCAAAAAUUAACACAAGUUUUUUUGUAAUGGGCUGAUUAAAAAAAAAGUUACUUUUGGCAUUUCAAACAUUCAUCCAUUACAAAUACACUGAUCUGUUUCUAUUGAGACAAUACAGCAUGUCUAACCCCUGGCUGGAUAUAAACACUGUGGACAGUGGUGUGUUUAAAAUUGGGUCUAUUUUCUCUAUCUGUAGUUGUAUAAAAACCCUUUUGGGUGUAACAGUUUGAUUAAUGGCCCUGCUCUUCGACUAGAUUUAGAUUAGGCCUGCGAGCCCCGCUUGGAAGUUAUUACUUUAUAAUCGGAACAUGUAAGCAAAGGCCAUGUGCUUUUCAUCACUCCAGGAGUGACAAUUGCCUAAUGAAAAAAGUAAGAUCAAAGAUGUACAAGCAUCGUGAAAUGUUUUAAUGUGGACAAGUGUUGGUAUGAAGCUGUGUUUUUGUUGUUUGGUUCACAAUUUCUCAACAGCUUUUCUUUCUUUAUUCCUCUCUUCUUUUUGGUGUGGCUGCAGUCAUUUCUUUUGAAGUUACAUGAGUCACUUAUUCCCUCUUGAGGUGACAGUGUUCGAGCCAAGUUCCCAUUGUGUUCAUCCUAAAUUUCCAUUUCAGGAUGCAAGCUAUUCCAAGCCAUAGCUGGUUAAAAAUAAACCAAAAAAAAACCCAAUAUGAGAUGUAGAAGAAAUAACAGAGAGAGGGGUGGGAGCAGAAUAAAGGGAACAGAUGUGGAAAGGCUGUUCCAUGUUUCAUUUAGCUCAUCCAGAUACCUGCUGAAUGUGUCAGACUUUACUAAAAACAACUCAGAAAGUAUUGAUUUUCUUUCACGCCCUGAGAUCAAUACUCGGGAGGACACCUGCAGAGUUUUCUGGCCUCUGUUUCACACUUUUUAACCUCAGCUCCAGAAGCCUUGAAGGAGCACUGUGUCUAAAAUCUGACUUACACUGAGCAGACCACAUUUUUCAUGGUACCUAUCAGGGGCAGGACAGAGCCAGCUGGCCAGUGUGUAGAAUCUAGGACAUGUUUCCGCAAGAGAGGCAACGAAGCCUUCUUGUGAGCUGGGAAACCGAAUCAAUGAAUCUGUGAAUGGGCGAGAAUAUACAGAAUGGAAGAAGGUGAAUAAUUUGAUGGCUUAUUAUGGCCAUGAACUGAGCUGCCGGAGACAAAGAUUAACUGCUACACCUUAUCACUAAUAAUAACUGAGCUCCAGCAUGUGCUGAGAAGUUCAAAAGGUAACACUGGUGUUAUACAAGCUACUUCAUGUCGUGGUAUGUUACCAGCAGAUUCAGUCUGCUGUUUAUUUCAUGCACAGUUUUAUUUGUCGGUUGAACUUAAUUUACCUAACUUUUCUGGCUGAAAUAAAUCUUGCAUUUGUGGUGUACCAGUCAUGGAAACAUUUUUACAUGACUAACAUUAACAAUGAUGUAAUUCCAAUUUUAGUUGCAAUUUCUUUUGGCCACAGCUGGCUUAAGAUUAUAGUUAUAUUAAUAAUGCUCUAGCAGAGGCUAAACUAACGCCUUUGGGUGACAUCGUUGUUGCUCACAAUCACUUCCUGCUUUCAUCACACCUAAGACACACCUUUAGCUGCCAGCAGUUCCUCUCCAAUUGGUCUAAACCACUCAUCUAAAAGUGAAUAGCUAGGGUUCUGGAAAUAUGGAUUUUAAUUUGCAAGUUGCUUCACAAGGUUAGCAAUGAGCAAAACUGAUAAAAAGUAAGAUUUUGUAAAAGUAAUUAUUGGGAAUUGCAUCAUUCAUUAUUGAUGUUCUUGUAUAGUUAUAGGUGAAGAAAAGUGUUUGAGGGAUCAUUGGGGCCAACUGCUAAUUUUAGAUCUCCAAUUUGAGAUCCCAAACUAAUGAAUCCCUCUGAAAGGUUCUAAAAUAGUUACUUCUUUUGGGAUCUUACAUAUCCACAUUAUCAAUAGACUAAACCUUCAAUAGACUUUCUCCCUGUCUUUCAAAAGCAAAAUUUCUUCAAGUUUGUGGGCGCCAGUUGGUCGCAGAAAUGUUUGUCUUGCAUUAACGACUUACUGCCCUCCCCUGGAAAAAUACUGUACGCAUGUAAGUGGAUGGGUUUGUCAGUCAACGCCAUUGAUUGCAUUUAGGAAUUUUAAAAAAUUCCGCAGAACUUAUGGGUAGACCAGGUGGUUCACUUUUCCUCUCCACAAGGUUUGUUUCUGCCAGCCCUCCCCUCCACAGCUGAAUGCCAGCCAACUCAGCAUCAGCAUCUAGAACAGACCUCCCCAGUCGGUGAUGAUUAUGAUGGAUGCCCUGGACCCGCUCUGCCCCAACACGUUACCUAACACCUACUGCUGGCUAUUCAUCAGCUUGCAGCCACACUGAAGCUAAUCCAGUUAACAGAGCAGACGUGGAGAGAAAAGAGCAUGGGUGUACUGAAACUUUUCACCUCAUAAAAUGCCACUGAAACGUGGCUGCGUUGAUUUAAUCUCUUUGUGACUCUACAAAGCAACAUCUUACAUAUCACUUAUUUCAGAACUAGGAAUGUCACUUGGUUAUGGAGCCUUAAGUGUGCCACUGGAAUAAUUUUAUUUCAAUAAUUGUGUCAUUAUGUUUUAAGCAGCUUUAAAAUGCUAUUAUAAAUUGGAUAAUUUUCUAAUGCAUUUUUCAUGUACAAAUUUUUUUACAAAACAUCAAUGAACUAUAGGCUUUUUUGUCCAAUUGGGGGCAGCAGAACAAGCAGUAAUCACGACAGUGUCUUAUAUUUGAGUAUUGCUAGCUGGGGGCACAACAGUUGCACACAUUUCAAGUCAUAUGGCCUUCUAGAUGUUCUCGUCAUUGAAUUGAUAUGGAGCAACGUUACAUCAAUUCAGUGUUUGUUUCAAAUGUAAAUCUAACAUUUACUGUCUUUUUAUACAUCUUAGUGUCAGGGACAUUGUAUCGAGUGUUGUUGAGCCUGUAGCUGCAUAAUCAUACUCAUGUAAAGACGGUCAGUCUUAAAAUACUAUAUUCGCCAUGAUUAUGACUAUUGAUGAGAUGAAAUGGGUCAGGACUCCUGACCUGUUCAAAACCGGCCUGCAGAAACCAAUGGGUGAUGUUUAUAUACAGUCUAUGCUCCUGACCCAUCCAUGUCAAUGAAUCAGGAGAUGUACAAAAGGAAGCAGCUUUCAUAGAACAGGUUCAGUCUGAUAUCAAAAGGGGCUGAUUUAAAUUAACUUUGUUUUAUUCUUAAUGAUUAAAAAAAGACAGAUUAUGAUUAUCAGCUAACUGAAGUAGUUGGUGGCCUAAUUUCAGAGGUGUGUUCUUGCUCUCUCCUUUACUGACUGAAGUCCAGAUCCUCUCAGACUGACCUAACAAAUUAUCUGCUGCUUCAGCAUUUAUUGGUAGAUACAAUUCAUAAUUGCCACAGGCAGGAUAGACUUGACACAUUCAUAUCAUUAGGAACUGGAACUGGAUAUACAAGCUAUGAUAACCAUGAUAGUCCCACAGUUUACAGACUCCAAACAGAGUAAUCAAUAUUAGUAAAUUAUUAAUGUACUCUGUGAUGUUGAGAUAUUCCAGCUAUGUGUGGAGAUGAGGGAAUCUCUAUUAGUACUUCUUUGAAUUGGUGGAGUAGUUUGUCUACAGACAAUUACUAUAUUGUUUGACUGUUUCUCAACUGAUGUUUUACAGACUGUGAUUUAUUAGCACGUUUCACAGUUUUUAUGUUAUUUAUAUUAUUGCAGUUAAAACAGCCUGUUCUAAGAUUACUCCUGGGUUCAGCUUCAGUUGAAGAAAAUGUCAACUUAAAAACACACUUAUAUUUGUAACAAUGCAAAUAAAUACAAAAUAUGUAUUCUUUCUUCUUCUUAUUUCAUUUUUUGGUGGACUAUAACAAACACCAUUUUCAAGUCUGACACUGUGGCACUCCCACAGUUCCCAUAAUAAAUAGGAAGUGUAGCAAGGCCAUGGGGUCAGUUUCAGAGGUGGAUAGUAACGAAGUAGUUGUACUUCGUUACACUACUUAAGUAGUUUUUUUUAGGAUCUGUACUUUACUUGAGUUUUUUUUUAAUCAUGAGUUUUACUUUUACUCUACUACGUUUAAAAGUUAAAAAAUAUACUUUUAUUCCGUUACUUUGACGUUUGCCACCUCGUUACUCGUUACAAAUUAAAAUAGAAAUAUAAUUAAUCAUCAAAGGAUUAUCUGGAAUGGGAAUGUCCGAGAGGACGAGAAGAACAACGUACGGUACUCUCGCGAAGAUUAGAGGUAAGGCCGGGAUGGUGGAGAUCGACAUGGCUACCUCCGCAGUUAACGUUGAUGAGGAAGACACGGAAGAUGUUACCACUCUGACAGCAUCUCCUUUGGUAGAAGACGACAGUCACCCGCCAUGGACAUACCUGGCAACAAUGUUUGGCUACCUUGGGAUGGGGGAAAAUCCAAAAACAUACAGAAUGAAGUGCCUCUUGUGCCUACCAAAGUGCCACGAGGUAAAGGCGUUUAAGAAAUCUCCAUCCAACCUUAAGAAACACAUUGAGGUAAGUGAAUUAAGUAACGUUAAUCUCUGCCAAUGUCAUUUCAUGUGCCAGGAGUAUAAAUAUGUAAUUACUGAUAAAACAUAGUUUUAGCCAACAUUAUGUGCAAGUUAACGUUGCUAGUAACGUUAGUAUCACACGUGGUGGCGUGGACAAGUAUGGAUAAACCUACGCGACACACACCCACACACACACAGUAUUUUAUUACACUUUAUUCUAGAUAAUGUCUCGUGCAACUUGUUCUGCAGGGGUGUCGAUAAAAAAGGGUUAGCAUCUUAACCUACUCGAAGGAGGCAGUUUUCCUCCUGAAUGAUACAUUUUCAAUAUCAAGUGCUUCACGUUAUUAUUGAAAAAUACACAAACAGAUCGUACAAGGAGCUGUAGUGAAAUAGCAUGCUGUUCAAUAAAAUAGAUUUGUUUUUGUGUAAUAAUUACCAGAUAUAGAGCACAUCUGCAAAAGUUGGAACCAAAACUGCACUUAUGUUAACCACAAAAAAGGGGGGAAAGCAAAUGUCCAAGCUCAGUGUGCUGCAUGAUUGAAAGAUAAAAUAUAGUUAACAGUUGACCAACAUUUUUAUCAAUGUUGGACAUGCCCACAAUUGGGACACCAGUGUGAAAGUGGUUAGAACAAUCCAGACCUGUCAUUGUGGUAACUGUUGAAUGAUGUCUUGAGUAUCAUUUAAACUAAUAAUAUUAUUUAUUUUAUUCAUGUAUUUUUCAUGUAGAGAGCACAUCCACACCAUCUGAAAAAAUAUGAGCAGCUGACUUCAAAGAAAAGAAAGAGGGCUUCGGAAGCUGGGACCUCCACCCUCAAACAGACCACCUUGCUGGAUACCCGAUCCAUGUCUCAGAGUGCAGUUGACAGGGCCAUUGUUAAGUAUGUUGUCAACGGGCUCCAGCCAUUGUCAACUGUUGAAAAUGAAGCCUUCAGGGAGCUUCUCGCAGAUCUCCUUCCUACUGUUAAGUCAUCACACGGGCCACCCUGCGAUCAAUGAUUGAAGAUUUAGCAAAGACUAUGAAAAACAUGGUAACUGAGGAGAUGAGUGAAGUGGACCACAUCGCCAACACUAAAGACUGCUGGUCAGUUAGGAGAAGGAGCUUCCUUGGUGUGACUGCCCACUUGGUCUACCCUACAGACCUAACUAGACAAUCAGCAGCCCUAGCUUGCAGACAACUAAGAGGUUCCCACACCUUUGAUGUUUUGUCCGCCGCACUCAAUGCCACCCAUUCUGAAUAUGGCAUCAGGAACAAAGUUGUGAGGAAAACAACCGAUAAUGGCUCCAACUUCCUAAAGGCUUUCCAAGUUUUUAGUGGGGACAAGAACAACAAUGUAGCAGAAGAGGCAGAGAAAGAGGAUGAGGAAGGGAACGAGAUGGAGGAGUGUCUACAGUUGAUGCUGAAAAAGCAACAGCCAGCGAUGGAUACAAAAAACUGUAACGCUCAACAUUCAGCAAGUGUCAUGGGCUGUGGAAUAAGUGUGGAAGAUCCUGCCAAGCAGCUGAAGCUGUGGAAGAUGCCUGCUCCCUCCAGCUGCUUCGACAAAAUGCCACCAGGUGGAACUCGCUGUUUAUGGCUGUGGAAAGGCUACUCAAGAUUCUGAGAGAUAAGGGAGAGCCAGCUUUGAGAGAGAUCUGUGCAGAAUUGAAGGUUCCAAUGUAAAUUGGAAUUAUGUAUUUUUUAUUUCUUUAUUUAUUUUUGCCUGCCAUGGCUUCUGUGAAUGUCCCUGACUUGUGUCAUAUUUAAAUGAGACUCGUUUAAAAACCACUUAACCCCUUUAGAAAUGAUCCCCGAGGUGAAAGUACUAUGCUCCAACCUACCUACUACUGCAUUCUAGUGGUGGUAAAAAUAUUCGAUCGCUCAAGUAAACUUAACCAUUAUAAGGAGCCGUAGACAACCUCAGAACUGGUUCAUACACAAUGUACUGUAAAACCUUGCUUUGUAUGUUUUCUAGGUUACUGAUUAUUGGGUACAAUAUUCAUGCAUAAUGUAAAACAGUGGUUUGUUUUCUCCCUAACAGAUUCCAUCCAGUUGAGCACACUUUUCUCAAAGAGUACUACACCACCAUGAGCCCUGUCGCCCAGUCCAUCAACAUCCUCCAAGGAGAAGCGGAAGUCCAGAUGGGAUGGCUUCAUCUGACGAUUUCCCUGCUGAGCAGCAAACUGGAAAAAAUAAAGAUUGCACUGAAGCACUGCAAGCCAUUGGUUGAAGCCAUUCAAGUGGGCAUCCAGAACUGUUUUGGCGAGAUGUUACGAGACCCUGAAUUGAUUGCUGCAGCGAUUCUCAUCCCAAAGUUCAGAACGGCCUGGAUCAAAGAUAAUGCUACACUGAGAAUCAGGUUGGACUACAUCAGGGAGCAGUUGGAGGAUCCUUCCAUUUCAGCAGAUGUCGGAUCCGGCUCAUCUGAUGAGGGAGAUUUCUUCCAUGUCCUGAAAAGUUCCCACGAAACACCAAGCGCCACCAAGCAGCUUGAUUCGUACCUGACCUACUCAACAGACACAUCAAGAUACUGAAGACGUUUCCUGUGGUUCUCAAGUUGUCUGUCAAACUCAACACACCUCUGCCUGCUUCUGCAGCCUGUGAAAGACUGUUCAGCAUAGCAGGUCUCAUCUUCAGCCCAAAAAGAGCUUGGCUAGCUGCGAACACUUUUGAAAAUCAACUUCUGCUGAGGAUGAACCGCAAGUUCAACUUCUCAAUCACCACUUGAACCAGAACCAUAGAGUUUGUGUUUGGUGUUAGUAUGCCUCAGCCCAUGAGGAUUCCCCCAUCAUAGUUUAAAAGUGGAAAAGUGGUCCUUAAGGGAAAUUUUGCAAUACAGUUUGUGCAAGACAUUGUUCAGAAAAGUGAUGUGCAACCAGUCUGCAGUGAUGGUGCUGUGUGUAGUGAGAAUGUAUUUUUUUAAGUUGUAUUCUUAACCAGACACAAGGCACCUUAUUUAGUUGUGUUCUCUGAGGCAGAGAGGAGGCACUUUUUUGUGUUCUUAGGCAGACAGACGCUUUAUUUAUAGUUAUGUCCUCAGGCAGACACGAGACACUUGAUUCACUCACUCCAAAUGUUUGCUCAGGUGUUUUUUUGUUUUUGUUUUGUCAUACCACAUCUAUUUCAUUCACCUGAAAGAGAACAAGGGGAGAACCAUUUUUGGUUGUUUUGCUUCUUUUUAUUCAUACUAUAAAAAUACUUUGUACUUUACUUGUACUUUUGAUACUUGAGUAUAUUUUUUUCACAAGAUACUUUUGAUACUUAAGUACAUUUAAUGUGAGCUACUUUAAGACUUUUACUCAAGUGAUUUUCUUAUGGGUGACUUUAACCAAAGUCAUUUUCAGUUAUGGCAUUUGUAAUUUUACUUAGUUAUUUUUUUUCAAGUACUUUAUACACCUCUGCUCAGUUUGCACUUGGCGACAACAAAUUUUUUGUCUGCAUGCUGAAAAACUUGAAAACUUUUCUAGAUCUCAAAGGUCACUGAGUGUCUUUUUUCCAAUGAUUUCUAAGUAGAUUCAUGGGUGUUUGUUUGCAAUGGACAUCAGAGAUAAUGAUGUCCUCAAAGUGUAAGUCCCACUGAAACUGAGUUUUGAAUGGCUAAGAUUUGACUGCGUUACAGCGGUGGCUGGUGAUAAAAAAAAUUGUGGGGGGGGGGCAAAGAAACAGAAAACAGCACUACAAAGCUCAGCAACAAAACAGCACUAGAUUUUUUUAAGAAGAGCGGGACAAUACAAUACCAUACAAAAUUAAAGUUACACACAUAAGAAGAUAGUGACUCUCCUGAGUUUUUUUUCACUAAAUCAUCCCACUCACUAUCAAAAUAUAUGAUUACUUGAACAUACAUUUUGCUCUCCUUUCCUUUUGGCCAUAAAGUUGUUGUUGUGCCUGGAGUUGCACCAGUUUGGAGACACCGGGAAGUGGUUGUACGACAGUACCGAGUCCAUGCCCGGCUGUGCCCAGGCAGAGAGGCUUGACACACCAUGCAGCGCCGGAUAAUAGGGUGACACUAAGCGGGCAGUUACUUUGCCGUCGUUUACGCUGAUAUACGAGAAUCAUCUCCAUGUUUGAGCCGUUGCCUUCGUGUGGUCACGAGCUGAACUUAGAGCUGAUUGUGUUAAACUCCAGCUUGUUUACAUCCAAGGCCAUUUCCUUACGGCAGGACCCCUGACACUGUCGCGAGAUUACCACUGGAUAAAAUAACAUUUAUCCAAUUCUGAUUGGCCAGGGACGCAGAGAGCUGCGCCCAGAGGAGAAUCUUGAAGAAACCUAUUAGAGACCAGCUGCAGGUCAAAUGCUUGCCUGAAGUUGAAGGAUGAACAUACUGUUACGGCCGGCUCGAAAAGCCACAACACAAAUAGAGAAAUCAGCAGGGGAAACAGCCGGAUGGUAAAUAAAGAGAACAUUUAUUGGAAGUAUAAACAAUAAAUGAUAAUGGUGGCCGGCAUCAUGGAGAAAGAAUGAGUGGAGAAUCAGCAGCUGCUUUUAUAGACUCCGCCCACAGAUUCACAAAGGUGGCUGGAAUCAGCCAUCAGAGCUGCACCUAGAACAGAAAGACACAGAACAUACACACAGAGAGAGAGAGAACCCUCUCCCUUAAGAUGAUAUGGCUGUCAUCCUAAGUGGAAAGUUGCAGGGGCAUUAUACAUGCCAAAUGCCAUGACAGUAUACUGUAGGAAAUUGUCUGGGGUCACAAAUGCAGAGAUUUCAGAAGCACGGGCUGUUAAGGGCUCAUGCCAAUAUCCCAUGAGCAAGUCUAACGUGGUGACAAAGCGAGCAGCUCCAACUCUGUCAAUACAGUCCUCCACACGAGGAAGAGGGAAGGAAUCUGAUUUUUGUUACAGCAUUUAUUUUUCAAAAAUCAUUACAAAAGCAUGGUGUUCCAUCCGACUUUGGAACCAACAAACAUGGAGAGCUCCAUGAACUGGAACUAGGAAUAGCAAAGCCAUGCUUUUGUAAAUAUUGCCUUCUGCAUCUGAGCCCUUUUUGUGGGAUUAACACGAUAAGCCUGCUGCUUAAUAGGACGAAAAUCACCAACAUCAAUGUCAUGUUUUAAGACAGUCGUUUGGGUGGGUGCAUCUGAAAAUAGAGCCCUGUGACUUUCAAUCAACCCUAUGACGUCACUCUUAUGGGAUUCAGACAGAUGAGACAGAUUUUUCUCCAAAUUGCUUAACACCUGUGAGUAUUGCAAUCGUGCACACAGAACAGGAGAAUCUUGCAUGACCAAGUCAUCUUCCAGGGGCAAGUAGGAGGGAAGCACUGAGGCUAAAGCUACAGGCAACACCUUAGGUGAAGUUGAUGAAGCUGCGUCACUAGGCCUGGCAACAUAAGCCUUCAGCAUGUUCACAUGGCAUACACGUGUCUUACGUCUUACGACUUUUACUAUACUUUUUCACAUUUACCUGUAUCCUGUAGUUGCCACAGUGUGGCCACUGUUCAGCAGAAGUUACAUAGUUUAACUUGAGAGAAAUGUAACUUUUACCAACAUAUUUUAUGUUGUUUUAGACUGGGUAGGAAUUUUCAAAUUCUACACGUAGUAACUAUCUAUAUUUUUCUGUCACGAUUAUAAUUCUAUGACCACGACUAUAAUUCUAUGACCAUGACAUCUCUCUUCUAUCGUCUAUCAGUGUUUCUGUUCUUCAGUAUGACUCGUGUACUGAAAUUAUUGACCAGGGAGCAUGUAGAUGAGCAGCCUGUACUGAUCAAUCCUGUGUGGACACAAGUGCAACAUGAGGGACACUGUGUGUGUGCGUUCAUGCGUGCGUGCGUGUCCGUGCAUGUGUGUGUGUGUGUGUGUGUGUGUGUGUAGGUUAGUAACCAAACAACAUCUGAGGACAACCCUGGGGCAUCACACACAACACACACACGCACACACAACCCUGCACAAACAGCGUUAAUGAGUGUGUUUCCACUCAACACUGAUUCCCCCCCCCCACAGUGUUUCCACAGGGUGCUUUUCCAUAUACAUGCACACACACCUGAAAUAGACAGGUAGAAGUAAAAGACAAGGUAUACACUAGCAAAAAAAAUACAGUUAUAUCAAUUUUUAUUUUGCCACUCCCUGCCUAGCCCAAAGCCGAAUCGCUGACACUAACAUCUACCUUUUUCAAAUUGGGGACACAGCUUUUGUCCCCUAAUGACUGAUUUUCGGUCUAAAAUGUAUCCCCAAAGGUAGCCAAUGACACACAAACACACACACACACACACACACACACACACACACACACAGAGUGCUUUGUCUGGAGAUAUUUGGCCUUUUUCCUGCAGGUGGUUCAUUCUCAUGUGGGACAGUUUCUCUAUCCGUUAUCCAAGUAGCUUACGUUCUGCAUUAGUUUUCUUUUAAAGUUUUUUUGACUCAGUGACUCAGUUUCAGACUGUGGUGAGGACUAAACCAGGGAUUCAAGUUCUCCGUGUCUACAACGGAAAUCUGUCAACUAGAAUUUCGCAUCCAUUGUAAGACUUCUAUGGUCAAAGUAAUCUUACGGAGUGUCAAACUGAACAAACAGAAAAACUGUCUUGAAAGUUCAGCACCGCUCAGGAGAAAGCGAAUACCGUAAUGACUCUAAUAAGGUAUCGCUGGGGCAGUAAAACUGCGUGUUUAUUCAUUACAACCAACAGAUAUCAAUUUCUAAUGGAGGAAGUACCAGCGUAAUUAAGGUAUUUUACAGAUCGUUGCAUUGUGGGUUAUAUUUACCAUUUUAUGUUACUAGGCUAGCAAGUGCUUUGAAGUCCGUCUGUAGUCGAGAACGGCUAUUUGUGUGCUCCUGUGCGGCGUAGUGCUCCCUCACCUUGUACAUGUGCUCGGGUACACAAGCGUGAAUAACAAGCUGAUCCUGCGGAGUGAUCCCUGUGCUGUAGUUUUUAUUGCCGAAGUAACCUGCAGUAAUUGAGCCUAGUAAAGACCAGCUGAGGACUGAAGACCUGCAGGACUCAGUCCUCAGAGCUCUGAAGCUGCUGCUGCUCAAAGAUCUGCUCGCCUGUCUAUUCUAAGUUCCUUCCUUCAGUGAAGGUCCACUCAGUACACUGAUCCCUGAACUGGAGAAUCAGCUGUCGUUAUUGACAAUGUCUUUUAUGUAGUUCAGAAGAGAACAGAAGCCUCUCUGCUUCCCUUAUAUAUAAAAUAUGUAUAUGAAUAUUAACUUAAUUUCUUUGAAGAACACAAAACAUAUAUGUUAGUGGAAAUUGGACUGGUUGGCCACCCAUGGUCUAUAGCAAGUUUUUUUUUUAGUUUUUUUUUUUUUACAGUUAAUCAGCCUUUAAUUAUGUUUGUUUGGUCCAGUUUAUCUUGGAGGAACAUGUCUUUACUUUAGAAAUCCACCAGGGAGAAGAAAUCCAGACUCUAGAUUACUCAGGGGCAGACGUAAAGGUAGAUGGGGAAAAACCUUUUUUUUGCUUUAAUUCCUGGGACUAAACUGAAUCAGCAUUUCUGUUAGUUCAGUUCACUGUGACAAAUCUUUCUACUGCUUGUCCUAUUGGUUUCUACUUUAACUUGCUGUGCACCUGGACGCUCUGACAAACUGUUGCACUGUCUGUCCACUUGGAUCUAAAAUUUGGACAAUAAGUAAUAUAAGUGCAGUUCCAUGACAACUGAGCAAACAACAUCUGCUGGUGAAGAUUGUGUGAGAGGGUCAAAAGCUCCAGCGUGAAUAAACUUUGAGUUGAGGAUGUUUCUCAUACAUUUUUCCCUUGGUAUCUGUAUGGCUGUAAGGAUGGCGUUGUUGGUCUGUGAGUUGGUCAGUCAACAACUUUGGGCCAAACUGAAAAUAUUUGUUUUAAAAUUAAUAAUGCAUUUAAAUUUAAUAAAAUAUUGCCAACAUGAGUGUUAGUUAGCUACUAAGAUGGUGAAUAUGGCAAGCAUAUCUACUUAGCUCCAUCAGAUUAGCACUGACAUUGUGAGCAUGUUAGCAUGCUAAUAUUAGCUUUCACCUCAAAGCACCGCCGUGGCUGGGAUCAGCUUCUCAGAGCUGCUAGCAUGCCUGAAGACCAUAGACUGUAAAUGCAGAUGAACUACGAGAUAGCUAAAAGUGAAGCCAAAACAUCUGGAUCGCCCCUGGUGGCUGGCUGUAGUGGAGGUCAAAAACCCAGGAGGAUAUGGGCUUAAUAGAUUGAUGAAGGGGGGGCAGAGUAAAUGGAACAUAGACAGCAUUAGUUUCCAUGGAAUAUAAUACAUUUUCCCAACCAUAACUAACAAAACUUGCUGUAUGUUAUGUUUUACGUGGACAUUGGUAAUAGUACAAUUUGUCUAAGCAAUAUAGUUGAUCAGUUAUGGCUAUCAAAAGUAAUACAAUUGCAUCAAACAUUAAACAUAUUAAUAUUAAAUAAUAAUUUGAAUUAACAUCAAAGUUCC
Molecule: long non-coding RNA, 14291 nt
Organism: Scophthalmus maximus (turbot)
Lineage: Eukaryota; Metazoa; Chordata; Actinopteri; Pleuronectiformes; Scophthalmidae
Exons: 3
Source: RefSeq, a predicted model, not a curated record